UCGGCGAGCGGCGGACGGCUGAGUAACGCGUGGGAAUCUGCCCCAAAGUGAGGGAUAACUGCCCGAAAGGGUAGCUAAUACCGCACAUGGUCUUCGGAUUAAAGCAUUUAUGCGCUUUGGGAGGAGCCCGCGUCGGAUUAGGUAGUUGGUAGGGUAAUGGCCUACCAAGCCGACGAUCCGUAGCUGGUCUGAGAGGAUGAUCAGCCAGACUGGGACUGAGACACGGCCCAG
RNAcentral lists this ribosomal RNA (231 nucleotides) under uncultured bacterium. Its description in RNAcentral is "partial 16S ribosomal RNA". It matches the Rfam family "Bacterial small subunit ribosomal RNA", at positions 88 to 334 of the family's 1533-position model. The record is from RNAcentral.